Molecule: long non-coding RNA, 2869 nt
Filed under: Mytilus galloprovincialis (Mediterranean mussel)
Lineage: Eukaryota; Metazoa; Mollusca; Bivalvia; Mytilida; Mytilidae
Source: RNAcentral
CAAAAGAUAACAAUUGUAAGGCAAAAGGGUCGAAAGGACUUGUCUUCUGGGUACAGUUUUUAUACUUUUACUUUAAUCAUCCUUUAUUUUUAUUAACUAUGUAUUUACAUUGUAUCACAGAUCAAAUUUAUUCGUUCAUUGUGUGUAAAUUUGUGUAAUUACGUUUUUUGAUUGAGCUAAGUCAUUCCAAUUGAUAUUUUAUAGUGUGUCUUUCUAUGUUGUGAUGUUCUAUUAUUGUUUCAGAAAAGGGAGAAGAUUUGGUACCAUUACGUUGAAUCCCGCUGCAAUUGUUUGCACCUGUCCUAACUCAGGAAUCUGAUGUUCCGUGGUUGUCGUCUGUUUAUGUGGUCCAUAAGUGUUUCUCGUUUUUCGUUUUUAUAUAGAUUAGACCGUUGGUUUUCCCGUUUGAAUGGGUUUUCACUAGUAAUUUUUGGGGCCCUUUAUAGCUUGCUGUUCGGUGUGAGCCAUAGCUUCGUGUUGAAGGCCGUACCUUGACAUAUAAUGGUUUACUUUUAUAAAUUGUUACUUGGAUGGAGAGUUGUCUCGAUCAUUAGCAAUCGUACCACAUCUACCUAUAUCUAUACACAAGUGAUAAUCAACUUACCAAUAUUAUGCAGAUAACCUUAAUGAAUAAGUUCCUAACAUGGAGUUAAUGAGUUUUAAUGAAUUAAACUUUACCUUACCCACUUUAUAAAACAAAAUCACAAAUAGUAGUUUAUUUAAGGGAUAUCUUCGUAUUCUAAUAUAAUAUUGUUAUUUCAGUUUAACUAAGAUUCAUAGAUAUAUUUCUAUUUAGCACAAAACAUAUUUACUUUAUCUAAGCAUUUUGCAGGCUUAAUGAGGAGAAUGUUUGCUUUUGACCCUCUUUUACAAAAAGCUUUAUAAAUUGAGAAUGGAUAUGGGGAAUGUGUCAAAGAGACAACAACCCGACCAUAGAGCAGACAACAACCGAAGGCCAGCAAUGGGUCUCCAAUGCAGCGAGAAACUCUCGCACCGGGAGGCGUCCUUCAGCUGGCCCCUAAACAAAUAUGUAUAUAUAUGUUACAGGGAAUUUGUGAAAUCGGGGAGUUUGUAAAAUCACUGAAAUUUAUGGGAAUUUGUAAAAUCACUGAACCGAUUAGGGAUUUUAUAAAAUCCCUGAUUUUGACUGGUGAUUUUAAAAAAUCCCUGAAAUAAUUAAGAUCUUUUUUACAGAUUCACUGAUUAAAUUCAGGGAAUUUGUAAAAUAAAUUCAUUCAUUUUCAUUAAGAAUUUCUGUGAAAAAAGCCUACAACAGUAACACUCAUUAGGUUUGAGGUUAAGCUAGCCUUUAGUUUAAUACUUAGUGUGCAGUUUACACGCACUAUACAGUUUACAUACUGUACAAAGAACAAUGACUAAAGGACAGAUGUCUUUAAAUCAAGAGCAAACAUACACACAAAAAGUUAUUUCAAAUAAUUGAGGGAAAAUUAAAGUGCAACAUAUGGAACCGGUGAAAAUAUGAUGAAAUUUUGGAAUAUGUUGUUAAUGAGCCACAGAAAGAAGACAAAAUCUUAUCACUACCUUGUUUGAAAGAAAGUUACUGACAGUGUUUAUUAUAGUUUUUUUUCUGUAAUUACUGUAUAAAAUAAAACCAAUUAUAUCAAGUUUUUAAAAUCAAAUAUAAAACGGAACACUAGGUUGAUUGCUGUCAUAAGAGAAAUACACAUAUGUUAGGUAUAAGAAAUUGAUUGGUAAGGGUAUGUGAUCCAGUGGCAAAUGUUACAUAUAUCAAUUAUAUAAUCAAUUUGGUGAAAUUAAUAUAAUAAAAAAAAUACAUUAUAAUAGAAAUAUAUACUAGUAUGUUUUGAAAAGCAACAUUUCUUUUGUCAAUGAUUGUUUUUUGCGCUUUCUUUAGCUUUCUUGUCAGUUACGGAAUGUAAAAAAAUAAAUUCUGUCUGUUCCUUUUGUAACAUAUCGUUAUUUCAAGAAUCUGUAAAAUAAUAUUUCUAAAAAAACCUAUCUUAUAGAGUACAUAAGCAACCAAAAGAGAAAUAUGUCCACUAUAAUUGGAAGGACAGUUGAAAAUGUUCUACUAAGUAUAUUAAAUAUUUAUUGAUAUUUUCUUUUCAAAUAGAUGGACGGAUUUCAUUUUAAAAUAUCAUAUUGAAAAGUAACACAAUUUCAUAUAGGACUUAACUUAUCUUUAACAGGACACUCUUUGCAUUUCAUUUGUGAUGCUAUUACAACAAGCACACAUUUUUAGAGUAUGUGUGUUACAACAUUCAGGAUUGACGAUCAAUGCGUUUGAAAGAGGACAUAUGAUUGGAACCCCCUUUUAAAAAUGGCUGGAUCCGAUUUUUGCAGUUUUAGGUUUAACAUCAAUAGAAUUUCCCAGUUUAUAUAGAUUGUUUUUUUGCCAAAGAAUCUUUAAUGUUAGAAAGGAAUAUCAGUACAUUAUGUAAUUUGUUUAUACUUUCAGUACCUUCAGUAGUUUCAUCGAUUCAAGUUUUCUAAGAAAGAGUUCAAUAGCAUGGCAAAUUUAACAGAGGAUUUCACAACUAACCUUGAUGUAAGAAGCACUGAAAGUCUCGAUAAACGAUUACUUUUCCUAAUGGACAAAGCAGCAAAGAAAGUCAAAGAAGUAGCGCCUAUUGUUGAUUAUGUUCACCAGAAAGUUGCAGACUACAGAAAGCAAAGACCUUACGAUACAGUAACAGUGGUUGGUAGUGUAGGAAACGAGCUUUACAUUCCCGAGAUCAUGCCGGACGGUUCUUAUUUGAUAGAGGUAGAUGUGUUGUAUAACAGGGAAAUGACAAAUGCUAUCCUUCCCAUGUAUAUGCCUCCUGAUGAUGUUCUGUAUACCAGAGAAAAAACGCGUGUUGUCAUGCCUACUGCAGGGCUCGACAUU